RNAcentral lists this ribosomal RNA (403 nucleotides) under Verrucomicrobiota bacterium. RNAcentral's name for it is "Verrucomicrobia bacterium partial 16S ribosomal RNA". It matches the Rfam family "Bacterial small subunit ribosomal RNA", at positions 355 to 776 of the family's 1533-position model. Lineage: Bacteria; Pseudomonadati; Verrucomicrobiota. The record is from RNAcentral.
UGGGGAAUAUUGAACAAUGGAGGGAACUCUGAUGCAGCGACGCCGCGGGAACGAAGAAGGCUUUCGAGCCGUAAAGUUCUUUUAUAGGGGAAGAUAAGGACGGGCAGAAAAGAAAAAGCCCCGGCGAACGACGUGCCAGCAGCCGAGGGAAGACGUAGGGUGCUAGCGUGGUACGGAAUCACUGGGCGCAAACGGUGCGCAGGCGGAACUGUAAGGAAGGUGUAAAAGGCAGUAGCUUAACUACUGUACGCAUUUGAAACUUCAUCUCUUGACAAUUGUAGCGGUAAGUCGAAUGUUUGGUGGAGCUGUGAAAGGGGUAUAUAUUGAAAAGAAUACCGGUGGCUAAGGCGACUUACUAGGCUCAUUCUGACGCUGAGGAACGAAAGCGUGGGUAGCAAACAGG